GUGCUCAUGCUUUUGAUAUUUUUUUUCCCUGGAAUUUUAAUGAUUUCUCAUCUCCUUCUUCUUUUUUAUUGUUUAAGUCAGAUUUGGACUUUCUGUUUUCUAAUUUUUGGGUCAUCAUCUGUAGUGUCAAAGCCAGGCUGCUGUUCAGAAGGAAGCUUUAGGAUUGCAAACUAAAGCCAAAACCAAGGAAUCUGAAUUUGAAAAACCAAUAAAUUCAGCAUUAGCAGGGGCUAUUGGUGGUAGGUGACAUUACUAAAGCUGCAGAAGCUGCACUAAAGUUGGAGCGUGAAAGAUUAAAAAAGUUGGAAGACUUGGAUGAAGGAAACAAGGCAUUAGGAUUGAAUGUAAAUAAGGAGGUUUCUACUGGUGUGAAAAAGUUAUUGAGGGAAUCGUCUGGCCAGUACAGCGACUUCAGUAUUCUUUCCUCUUUAAAUUCUCAGGUAAAUCAUGUAACUUACUGUUUGUUUAGUAGGAUAUAUGUUUUUAUAUAUAUCUAUAAUAUUUUAGGUGAAAAUUUAUGAUCUUUAAGAAAGUGUUAGAUGGCACUAGAUGCAUUAGAUCAAUCCAUAUGUGUUGUUUUAGGUUCAGAUCACUUCCAGGACUUGUCAACCAAACCCAAAGGGAUAUCAUAGAAUGUAAUGUCUGCUUUUAUUUGCCUUUUCAUUC
Long non-coding RNA from Humulus lupulus (European hop), 666 nucleotides. RefSeq lists it as uncharacterized. The record is from RefSeq and is a predicted model, not a curated record. Lineage: Eukaryota; Viridiplantae; Streptophyta; Magnoliopsida; Rosales; Cannabaceae. The transcript is spliced from 3 exons.